This 2858-nucleotide long non-coding RNA is filed under the name Anas zonorhyncha (Eastern spot-billed duck). RNAcentral's name for it is "lncRNA (ENSAZOG00000005444.1)". Lineage: Eukaryota; Metazoa; Chordata; Aves; Anseriformes; Anatidae. The record is from RNAcentral.
UCAUCCUUUGCUUUACAAAUCGAUCUCCUUGGUUCCUUAAGUGAGGUCCAAUUGGUUGACAUUGUGGUUUGUCUUUGUGUGUAAACUUGCAGCUUCAGAAAAGAGAAGAUGAGCUACAGAGACAGCAGAAGGAAACACUUUCUCUGCAACAGAAAAAGGAUGAUCUUACUGAAGUACCUCACUAUAUAUUGAAUAUGUAACUCCAUAUUGCUGCUCUCUGGGAACGUGGAGCUGCAGAAGCCUUGACUCUUUUGGGCUGAGACAAGAGAUUUCCACAAGUCCACCAGAUUCAUCUAUACCUAAGUGUGUUACAGGCUCCUUGUAGAAGCACCUUGCUGGCUCAAUUGCCAUCACAGCUGGAAGACUGAAAGAUGAUUGUUCAAGAGCACAGGCAGCCUUCAGUGGACAAUCAGAAUGUGCCUACAGCUGGAGAAACUCACUGGCAUGACGCCUUUGUUGCUCAUAAAUCUGAUUUCACAGAACUUGAAAAGAAGUUGGAUGAUACCAAAAAGGAACUGGAGGAGGUGCAUGCUAAUCUUGUCAUGGUCAUGCAGCAACUUGAUUUGGCAAGAGCUGAGGUACAACAGUGUAUUUGACUAUCAUCUGAAUGAAUGCUGCAAUAUCAGUUGGUAGGUUGUCAGUUUUGUGGUGGUGGUUAGUGAAUGCUGCUUGUAAAUUUAUUCCUCUUCACUGCUUCUUCUGCUGUUGAUUUUUUUUUUUUUUUAAUAGAAGGAAAUUUUAUUCUGAAUGUCCGUAUUUCCGUAUACCAAUAUAGAGUAACUGAUUUCAGUGGCACUAUUGUAUAUUUUUAUAUGUGUAAGAUCAGGAUAUGCCUCUUCAUAAAGUAAACUUGUAAAGCCCAUUUUUCAUGCUGAUUUUCUUUAAAACAAAUCUCUUCAAUUUCAAGUUAAGAAACACAUACACACCAACUUUAAUAAUGUGAAUCAUGGUAUUGUGAAAAGGAGGAAAGAAAUAGAGGAGUUUUGUUGAUAAAUCUAGUAAAACAUACUCCAUUGAUUAACACUGUGUAAUAUCAACCUCAUAGGCAACUUAAAACAGGAAAAUGCUGGUUUUAUGCCCAAAUAUUAUUGUUUUCCAAUUUAAUUUUAAAUACUCUGAAAAUAUGCAGCUUCUUUUGCUAGCCGCAGGAAGACACUAGCAGUAGAAGUAGUAUGGCAAAAAACUAAUUUUUUCAUAAGAUUUAUAAAGCAUUAUACUAUUCACAUAGUUAGACACAGAUCAGAAUAAUUCUGGACUAAAAGUUUAGGUGGAAGGUAAUGAUGGAAUAGAAAUUCAGUUUUCUUAUUUUUCCUUGUUCAUUGUAAAUAGUAGAAAACCAAUAUAUUAGACUCUUUAUCUUCUGUUGAAAAUUUCCUUUUGAUAUGUUCUAAUUAUAAAAGCUAAAUUAUUAUUAGCUUAUUUUGUUAACUAUACAUUUUAGUACAGAACUCAGCCAGUAUUUGGAAGUUCAUACCUUAGUGAGCAGAGGAAAAUAAUGCAAACAUACCUGUAUUAAUUUAUUCAAAAAUUUGGAGCUAGACCUGAUCCUUUGUCUUAUUGAACUUUUAUUUAAUGGCUAAAGCACAAUUCUUUUAAACAUGUUUAAUGAAAUAAUAGAAAUACAACUUAUUAACAUAAAUUAUGAGUCUGCCAUAUGACUGACAUUAAAAAGAAAUAUUAAUUUACCUGUGUAUUCUGUGAUUAGUGAUAAUUGUAUAAUUGUAGUUUAAAGGCAUGUUGAUGGAUCUAAUAGGUACAAAAAGUUUCUGUACAGGUAUGUUUGCAAUCUUACAAGGAUGUAGUCAUUUGUCUCGGUAUACAAAUAUGUACAAAUCCUAGCAUUGCAGUGAAAAUCCAAUAAUGAUUUAAUUGCAUCAAACAUGUUUGCAUUCUACGGUUUUAUAUUCUGUUACUGAAACACCAGUGUGUAAUAUUCAGUAAUCCUAAAUGAUAUACUGUGGGAUGCUGCCUGUAUUAUAUGAUGAGAAUACUUUGAGUUAGGUUUUGUCAUAAUGGUGUACUGUAUAAUAUAUUUUAUUAUCUAGAGAAAUUACAUUAUGCUAAGGAACUUAAAAAAAAAAAAGUUUCUUUCCCUUCAUUUUUUUUGUUAGCUUUUCUAUAAUGUUUUCAAUAAAUUAAUUUUACAUAUUGCCUCAUCUUCCUUAUUUAUAUUUUAAGAACCUUUUUUUUUAAGAUUAGAAAUAAUGAUAAAAUCAUUGCUUACUGAAGCAAGCAGACUUUGAAUCCAGCUAUGCACAUUAGAAGGAUGUUACACACUGCACACUUUUAAUAAUGAUCAUUUAGAAGAUAAUUUUAGCAUCCACACAAGGGAAAAAUGGAUUUUUGAUGAGUUCUUAUAUGACCAUAUGUGGUAUUAGUCAGUGUGAGGUAUUGCUAGCAAGCUCAUUGCUUUCAAAAAUCAAAGUUAAAUGGUUCAUCUAUCAUCAGAAUUUGUGUCUGGGCGACUUGUCUGAACAUCAGUAUGAUUUAUGGUUUGAAUUGGAGGAGUCAACCAUGCAUGUUUCUUAGUUUAUCGUUUUAUGCUGUCUUCAAUUAAAUGUCUAUAAACACAGUGAUGGCUUUAUGACAUUGUCCAUCAAUAAAGACUAUCAGAUUUUGCAUGAGAAUAUAUAAUUUUCAUAAAAAAUAAUGACCUUUUGACUUCUAUGUGCCCUGUUGUACACAUGAUAUAUAUGACAUGUUUAGACUUCAGUUUUUAUCCCAGAUCCAUUUGAUUUUAAUCUUGGAGACUAAUUAAGACAGUGACCAUAUUUUAUUUAACAUAAUUCAGAUAGACUACCAUCUAGGAUUUUUUGAUGAAACUAUCAAAUAGUGAUAUAUUCUGCAAUAAUAGUCAG